GUAGAGGAUGCUUCUAGGCAGCGGCCGGUCUAAGUUUCUUGGAACAGGACGUCAUAGAGGGUGAGAAUCCCGUAUGUGACCGGUUGGCACCUUGCACGUAGCUCCUUCGACGAGUCGAGUUGUUUGGGAAUGCAGCUCUAAAUGGGAGGUAAAUUUCUUCUAAAGCUAAAUACCGGCCAGAGACCGAUAGCGCACAAGUAGAGUGAUCGAAAGAUGAAAAGCACUUUGGAAAGAGAGUUAAAAAGCACGUGAAAUUGUUAAAAGGGAAGCGCUUGCAACCAGACUUGUCGGCGGUGUUCCGCCGGUCUUCUGACCGGUCUAUUCGCCGCCUGCAGGCCAGCGUCGUCUGGGGCCGCCGGAUAAAGGCUUUGGGAAUGUAGCUCCUCGGAGUGUUAUAGCCCAUUGCACAAUACGGCGCGCGCCGGGCGAGGUCCGCGCUUCGGCAAGGACGCUGGCGUAAUGGUCGUAAGCGGCCCGUCUUGAAACACGGACCAAGGAGUCGAUCAAUCGUGCGAGUGUUCGGGUGGAAAACCCUUGCGCGCAAUGAAAGUGAACGGAGGCGAGAACCGCAAGGUGCAUCGUCGACCGAUCCUGAUGUCUUCGGAUGGAUUUGAGUAAGAGCAUGGCUGAUCGGACCCGAAAGAUGGUGAACUAUGCCUAAAUAGAAUGAAACCAGGGGAAACGCUGGCGGAAGUUCGCAGCGGUUCUGACGUGCAAAUCGAUCGUCAAAUUUGGGUAUAGGGGCGAAAGACUAAUCGAACCAU
RNAcentral lists this ribosomal RNA (764 nucleotides) under Extremus adstrictus. RNAcentral describes it as "eukaryotic LSU rRNA". It matches the Rfam family "Eukaryotic large subunit ribosomal RNA", at positions 151 to 943 of the family's 3401-position model. The record is from RNAcentral. Lineage: Eukaryota; Fungi; Ascomycota; Dothideomycetes; Mycosphaerellales; Extremaceae.